Molecule: ribosomal RNA, 282 nt
Filed under: uncultured bacterium
Lineage: Bacteria
Description: partial 16S ribosomal RNA
Rfam family: Bacterial small subunit ribosomal RNA
Source: RNAcentral
AUUAAACGCUGGCGGCAUGCCUUACACAUGCAAGUCGAACGGCAGCACGGGGGCAACCCUGGUGGCGAGUGGCGGACGGGUGAGUAAAGCAUCGGAACGUAUCCUGGAGUGGGGGAUAACGUAGCGAAAGUUACGCUAAUACCGCAUAUUCUGUGAGCAGGAAAGCAGGGGAUCGCAAGACCUUGCGCUCUGGGAGCGGCCGAUGUCGGAUUAGCUAGUUGGUGGGGUAAAGGCCUACCAAGGCGACGAUCCGUAGCGGGUCUGAGAGGAUGACUCCGCCAC